AUUGAACGCUGGCGGUAGGCCUAACACAUGCAAGUCGAACGCGAAAGUCCUUCGGAUGAGUAGAGUGGCGGACGGGUGAGUAACGCGUAGGAAUCUAUCCUGUAGUGGGGGAUAACGUUUCGAAAGGAACGCUAAUACCGCAUACGCCCCAAGGGGGAAAGCGGGGGAUCUUCGGACCUCGUGCUAUAGGAGGAGCCUGCGUCGGAUUAGCUAGUUGGUGAGGUAAAGCUCACCAAGGCGGCGAUCCGUAGCUGGUCUGAGAGGAUGAUCAGCCACACCGGAACUGAGACACGGUCCGGACUCCUACGGGAGGCAGCA
This 318-nucleotide ribosomal RNA is filed under the name uncultured bacterium. RNAcentral describes it as "bacterial SSU rRNA". It matches the Rfam family "Bacterial small subunit ribosomal RNA", at positions 30 to 353 of the family's 1533-position model. The record is from RNAcentral.